Molecule: long non-coding RNA, 1360 nt
Filed under: Dicentrarchus labrax (European seabass)
Lineage: Eukaryota; Metazoa; Chordata; Actinopteri; Moronidae
Description: lncRNA (ENSDLAG00005032988.1)
Source: RNAcentral
AUGAUGGUCGAAUCAGAUGUUCGUGGCUACCUUUAUGAGCCGCAAUAUAGCGAAGAGCAGCUGAGGCUGAACAGGAGGCGGCUGAGGCUUCUGCAGCCGAGGCAGAGGACCUGCCUGUCGCGGACGAGGGGCCCGGACUGGCUCGAGCUGGGGCGGACUGCUGGUGCCUGUGCUCUCGCUGUGCGCCUACGGACACACGGACGUCUGACUGUAAAACAAUGUCGCCUAACAGCCUUUCUGGAAUGGGUCCUGCAAGGCGAGAGAUUGGGUCGAGGCCAUCGUGUCGUUUUACCUGCUGAUGUGGUGCAGGCUAUCCGACAGAAACAUCCAGCUCCAGAUGGCCAGUACUGCGGCACCGAGGAGUUGAGGACGCUCAGGAGGAACUAUAACUGUCAUUGUUAACAUAUUUAUUUUUGUUGUUGUUGAUAUAUUUCUGUAAAUAAAUGGUUCACAUUCACAUUGUUGUAGUCUUUGAUAGUGUCAGUGGGAGCGGCUUGCGGAGCUGUGCAUUCUGGGAGUUGUUGUCUUUAAUACAAAUGCGCCCUAAAGUCACUUUCUGUCUUUUCUCGGUCAAAUAGGCAUCAAAUUCAAAAUGUAUGUUACAUUUCGACUACAUAUAUAACCCACUUUCAAUAAAUAUUAAUGUUUCCACGGGUGAAAUGCUCCUUUAAUAAUAAUUUAUCUCCUGGUUACCAGCUUCUCUAUUCUGUAUCGUGUUGCAUUAAUCAGCUAAAAGUACAAUUAGAACGCACUCUGCCACCCCCUCCUGUUUGGAUAUCAGCCCAGACAGUGGUUCCCUACCUGGGGGUUGCCAAAGCUCCAUGGGUGGUCGCGAGGCCUUCGUGAUUUUAAAGCUGCAGUAGGUAACUACUGGCUCAGGGAUCACACUGGAUGUCUCAGCUGGACGAAAGUGUUUAUAUUGUACAGGUCCGCUGGAGUGCACAGAGACAAUCAGUAAAUGCAGCCUCUCCUCAGCCAAUCUCUGCUUUAAAUUUGGCAUCUGGUGCUCUUUGGUUGCACACAUGAGUACACAGGCAAACUGCUAUGUCAAGCUUCAUCUGACACGACGUAGUCAUGUGAAAGAAGUGUUCACUUUUGGCAUUGUUUGGAGAAAAAAAUCCCUCACAACCACAAUCCUCAAUCUUGUUGAGUGUGACCAACAUCUCCAGGGUUGACACACUGUUCCUUUCACAAAUGAAAAGUAAAAGGGAAAAAGAAAAGCUUGAAUAUGUGCUGUUGAUAUAGAAAGAGUAUAUAAAAAUCUACCUGUGACAUUAAACCACAAAAUCUGCUGGAAACCUCACAUAAAACGUCCGAGCAAAGCUAGCAAUGAGCGCUGUAUAUCUUUAUUGUUCACUGG